GCCUACGUCCAUGCUACCCUGAACAAGCAUGAUCUUGUCUGAUUUUGGAAGCUAAGCAGGGUUGGGCUGGUUAGUACUUGGAUGGGAGACCAAAUAGGAAGACGAGGUGCUGUAGGCA
Molecule: ribosomal RNA, 118 nt
Filed under: Pteropus alecto (black flying fox)
Lineage: Eukaryota; Metazoa; Chordata; Mammalia; Chiroptera; Pteropodidae
Source: RNAcentral